This 477-nucleotide ribosomal RNA is filed under the name uncultured bacterium. Its description in RNAcentral is "partial 16S ribosomal RNA". It matches the Rfam family "Bacterial small subunit ribosomal RNA", at positions 28 to 507 of the family's 1533-position model. The record is from RNAcentral.
GACGAACGCUGGCGGCGUGCUUAACACAUGCAAGUCGAACGGACAGACCCUGCUUUUGCGGGGUUCUCGAUUGGCGAGCGGGUGUGUGUCACGUGUGUAUCCUGCCCUUAACUUUGGGGUAUAAUCACGAAACACCGGCUAUUAUACGAUAGGAUAUCCUGCUGCGUGUUGGUGAUUGGAAAAAUACGGUUUUGCGGUCGGUUAUAGAUGGUUCCGCGCCUCAUUAGCUGGUUGGGAGGUUAGUGGCUUACCAAGGCUACGAUGGGUAGCCGACCUGAGAGGGUGACCGGCCACAAUGGGACUGAGAGACGGAGCAGACGCCUACGGGAGGCAGCAGGGGGGAAUAUGGCACAAUGGGCGGAAGCCUGAGACAGCAACGCCGGGUGCGGGAUGACGGGUUACUGGUUGUAAACAGCUGUCGCCGGAGACGAAGCGUUAGUGACGGUAAUGGGUAAAGAAGCACCGGCUAACUACGUG